RNAcentral lists this ribosomal RNA (440 nucleotides) under uncultured bacterium. RNAcentral describes it as "partial 16S ribosomal RNA". It matches the Rfam family "Bacterial small subunit ribosomal RNA", at positions 338 to 795 of the family's 1533-position model. The record is from RNAcentral.
CCUACGGGAGGCUGCAGUGGGGGAUAUUGCACAAUGGGGGAAACCCUGAUGCAGCGACGCCGCGUGUGGGAAGACGGUCUUCUGGAUUGUAAACCACUGUCCCCAGGGACGAAAAUGACGGUACCUGGGGAGGAAGCUCCGGCUAACUACGUGCCAGCAGCCGCGGUCAUACGUAGGGAGCAAGCGUUGUCCGGAAUUACUGGGUGUAAAGGGAGCGUAGGCGGGGAUGCAAGUUGGGUGUCAAAACUACCGGCUCAACCGAUAGUCGCACUCAAAACUGCAACUCUUGAGUGAAGUAGAGGCAGGCGGAAUUCCUAGUGUAGCGGUGAAAUGCGUAGAUAUUAGGAGGAACACCAGUGGCGAAGGCGGCCUGCUGGGCUUUUACUGACGCUGAGGCUCGAAAGUGUGGGGAGCAAACAGGAUUAGAUACCCUGGUAGUC